AUUUGUGUGAGUUGUACGCAAUGAAAUAUUUAGAAAGUUUUGUACUUUUAGAAACAGAUCUAUUUCUUUCUAAUCUUUACUUAUUUUAGCGAUUAAAUAAUUUAUCACAUGUAAGAUAAAAUAAGGAAUUUUUACAUAUAAAUUGGCUUAAUAGCCCAUAUUUACAUAUCCAUUAAGUCAAAGUACCAUAGUUUCAAAAAAAUGUAUUUGACUAAAUUGCUUAGGUGGCACAUGAAUUUUUACUUUAAAAUUUGUGUUACCUAAAGUGCCCUUCUCUCUAUUUUCUGUGCUGCCUAAAAUGCCCUUGUCCAUGUUACAAUACAUUUUACCUUUAGAGCCCUAACGUCAUUGAAUUCUCUCAUUCGUGCAAGAGCCCUCUCGCUCUCUCUCUGCCCUAACCCUCACUGAAAUCUCAUUCGUGAAGCUCAAAAGCCCUCUUUCUCUUUCCCCCUCUCUGUAACAGCCAUUUUACAGUCAUUAGUGCACCCUCUCUCUCCCCCUCUCUGUCUAACCAGCGAAGCAAGACCAGGCCACACAUCUCGGCAUACAGCAUCAACAAACAUGGAGGUCUUCUCCACUUUGUUUCUCUCUAAUGACCGAUUCCAUUUGCUGUGAAAUGAAGCCAGACCUAGGUUGUAUCUCUCUUUCCUUCACAAUUUAAUUCAAGGAUGAAUCUAGGGUUUGAGAGCCCUCACCCUCAUAGUCUACUCUUGUCGCUGUUCUUCUUCUUGGUGGUCCAUGUGCUUCGUGAACUUUACUCCACUAAUUUGGUAUAGGAUGUUAUCUCCAAUCAAGAAGCAAUUGAAAUUGUACCUUCCACACCUGAAAGAGAGAAGUUAACUAAAUGUCUGGUUGAAUGCACUAUCGAAGCAUGGAAACGCAAGAGGCGCAGUAUUGCAACAGACGGUGUUUCUGCUAUUUGUCUUUUGUUUCACACUUCACCCUCAUCUUAGGAAAUUCAUUCUGUUACUAUGUCAAAAUAGUUGUGACGAAAAAGAGCAAGUUACUUGCUUGGAUUUUGUAUCAUGGACAAUGAGGUGGUUUUUUGACAAGUGCAGACUGAAACUCAAGUGCUAGAAGGUGCUUAUCCCCAAAAAAAAGUCAAUUCAGCCAAAUUAGAGCAAAAAAGAAGCAAUCUCAAGCUGAAUGGAAGAAUGGAGAAAAGUGGAAGUAAAGUGGUAAAAAUCAGCAAACUUCGAUCGAUCAGGAAUAUUUUCGAUCGAUCUCACCUCACCAUGAUGGAUCAAACCCCUUGUCCUUAUUCUCAAUAAAUUUCAUCUUCGAUCGAUCCAACUUCCUUCAGAUUGAUCAAACUUCCUUGAUCUUAUCCCUACCUACCACUUUUGUCUUUUUCCCAAAAUAUCCCAAAAUAUCUCAGAGAUUUGUCGUAUUCCAAAAAAGCGCCGCCAAGGAUUGAUCGAUCGGGCCUUAAUUCGAUGGAUUUGGCCACAGUUCAAUCAAUCUCAUUUGAAUUUGAUCGAUCGAACCUCCUCAAGUCCGAAUUAAAAUAGAGUACAUCUCAUUAAAAGAUGGCUCGUGCUGCAAUCAUUGAAGGGACCCUAGUGCACGAGACCUGACCAUUAGGUGUGACACUUGAGCUACCAAUAUAAGGAUUUUGAGCCAUUUUUACAUCACAUCUCAGCAUAACUUAGAUAUUUCAAUACAUCUCAUAUCACAUAUCUUGGAGAGGAGGCUAGAGCUUAGAGAGACAUACACUAUUUUGGAAGUUCUUCCAUUCUUCUAGGGUUUUCAUCAAGAAGAAGAGCAUUUCUACCAUGGAGAUGGCCUUUGAGGGUUGGAUAACUACAUCAAUGAGUAGCUAAACAUCUUCUUGGGGAUAGAGUUAGCCCUAAGCAUGCCUUCUAGACCUUGAUGUUCUGUAUUUUGAGGGGAUUUGUGUUGUAAUCUUGUCUUGACAUUUGAUUUAUUUAUGAAUCUUGUUUUUACAA
This is a long non-coding RNA of Cornus florida, 1949 nucleotides long. RefSeq lists it as uncharacterized. Lineage: Eukaryota; Viridiplantae; Streptophyta; Magnoliopsida; Cornales; Cornaceae. The transcript is spliced from 5 exons. The record is from RefSeq and is a predicted model, not a curated record.